This is a long non-coding RNA of Gasterosteus aculeatus aculeatus (three-spined stickleback), 7306 nucleotides long. Lineage: Eukaryota; Metazoa; Chordata; Actinopteri; Perciformes; Gasterosteidae. The record is from Ensembl.
CCAAGGCGGACAGUAAAGGACAACGAUAUUUAAUUGUACCGGGUGAGUAACUGUUACAGCAUGGAAUUCGAAAGACAGUGGAGUGGAAGAGGGUAGAGAGAAAAGCGCCAUUUGGGUGAAAUGAGUAAACCUGUGCCACCACUCCAACCAGUGGGUCCGGGUUUGUGGCUGAAGGAGAAGGCAGAGGAGAGAGUGGCUGUGUCACGGUGUUGUUUAUUUCCUGUCUUAUUUUGUCAUUUCUGCUUCUGUUAAGCAGUGUGUGUCUCUUGUCACUUGUCGCGUCAUUGUCGAAUGUCCUGGAUGUUUCUAGAUUCUGCCUGCCUUUUUUCCCUGGUGCCUGUUUGCGUUUUUGCCCCUUGGCCUUUUGCUUUUGGUAUAUUGACUAUUAAAGUCUGCGUGUGAGUCCUGCAUUCCCCGCAUCCCUGACAGAAUGACGCAACCACGAAGGGACUCAGCGGACCCGCUGCCAGAUUACAGAACUGACUACAUGGAUGGGAGGAGCCCGUUCUGGCACCGUAAAACGAACUUUGUAUAUGGUCCCAGGAGUAAUCCUAAAUCCCAGGAGGAGCCCUGGCAAGCGGAAGCAGCAAUCUCCCGUACCCGCUGGGCCGCAGCAAUCUCCCGUAACCGCUGGGCCGCAGCGAUCCCCUGAUCCGGUUCCCUGCCUCGCUCCGCCUACUCGGCCAAUCCCGACCCAGAGACUCGCACCCCUGACCCCCGUACCGGCCCCCUGCCUCGCUCCGCCUACUCGGCCAAUCCCGACCCAGAGACUCGCACCCCCGACACCCGUACCGGCCCCGAGACUCCUGACCCCGACGCCUCCAGUCCCCGGCCCCGAGACUCCUGACCCCGACGCCUACAGUCCCCGCUUCCCGACUCAGGCUCCCUCCCUCUCAUCCCGUGGUACUCUCCCACACUCACUUUGGUGAUUUGAGGGCCGUCUGGGAUCCGGCCCUUGAGGGGGGGGCUAUGCCGAGGGCUGAGCCGGCGACUCGUGGUUUCCAGUGUCCCCCAGCCGGCGACUCCGGAGGUUUCUCGUGUCCCCCAGCCAGCGACUCCGGAGGUUUCCCGUGUCCCCCAGCCAGCGACUCCGGAGGUGUUCCGUGUCCCCGAGCCGGCCAUUCCGGAGGUGUUCCGUGUCCCCGAGCCGGCCAUUCCGGAAGUGUUCCGUGUCCCCGAGCGGCGACUCUGGAGGUGUUCCAUGUCUCCCAGCCGGCUAUUCCGGAGACGUUCAGUGCCCUCCGGAGCCAGAUUGCUGACCGUCCGCCGGGCCAACCCCCGGACUGCCAGAGUUUCCCGGGCGGUCCGACGUCUCUUGUUUCCCUCCCUCCCGCCCCUUUUCCGCUCUCUGCCAGUUUGAGCCGUCUGGAAUUCGUCCGUUCAGGGGGGGGGGGGAAUUGCUCGUCUUGACUCCCACGAAAGACUCUCUAGGCUUUGUCCUGCUCGUCUUCGUCUUUCCCCGUUAUGCAAACGCUGAAGCUAAUCCUUCACUCGACCUCUAGUUAAAUACUCCCUCGUUAGUCGAAGUCGGCUACGGCUGCGCUGACCACUCCCCCGUCGUUUAGGAGACAAAAGGUCGAUUGGCCUCCGCAGAAACUCCUCAAAAUGCAAAACAGCAAUCGCUUGACACCCUAAUGAAGUGAACAAUAACCAUGUGGUGUUUUGACACCACAAAAGUGGAGUUUAAGGAUUCAAGUUUCUUCUGCUUCAGAAGAGAAGGCAAAACAGACUUGGAUUGGGUCAAACCUAGCAAUUAGCAUUACAUUAGUUUUGGUAGGCCGCGCAUGUGUGACGUAAUGUCAUUUUUUUCAGCGAUGGCACGCAAUCGACUGGUACUGCCUUCGCAUACCUCGCACCGGUUUGGGGAAAUCAAACUGUUUUAGGUUUUCCUAAUUAGCUACUCACCACUCCUUGGCUUUGGUUCUUUAGAUACUGCACUGAAAGGCAAUUGUAAAGAAGGGCACACACAGCAGGUGAGUACCAAUUUAGGCAAUGCACAUUCUUUCUUUAAACUUUUGUGUACCCUGCAUUGGUUGACGCUUCGGAAACUACUCCCGCCGGUAGUGUCCGGGUUGCCCGCACCUCCAACACUCCUGCCCUGGCGGUUGAGGAGCCCUCUGUAAGUUGGGGAGAGUGCCGGUCAGGCCGGGUGGAUCAGUACUCCAUUGAAAGGCUGGAUCUCGCGGGGUCGGCAGGGCCCGAGCUGCGACCGGCUGCGGGGCCCUCCUUUGUGGCGUGGGGACGGGCUGUGGUGAUGUGGCCGGCCGACCGCCCUCUCCCGGCCCGCCGGGGUGACCCGCCAGGUGGUCCUCCGCAAGGGUGACGGCGGCCUCCAGCGUCGCCGGCCGGUGGUAACGGACCCAGGCCGCGGUCCGCAGCGGCAGACCCUCCAGUAGCUGUUCCACCACCACCGCCGGCGCUCCUCCCGUGCCCUCCGGCUACAGCCACCUGUUGGCCGCGUCUCUGAGCCUCUGUGCGAACGCGAAUGGGCGGUCCCCCGGCCCCAGCCUCGCCCCUCGAAACCCCGCCAUUGCCUCAAACAUCUCCAGGAACGACUGCACCUCAUCCCCCAGGGUCAUCUUAUGCAGCGUCAUACGGCGGGGAACCCGGCGCCAGCGGGGCCGCAACUGGCCGGGCCGCCAACAGCUCCAUCACAUGGGUUUGCCGGUCCGCCUGUGCCUGCAGCGCCCCCAGGAAAAGCCGGUUGGACUCGGCCUGCUCGCUCUGCAUCGCCGCAAUCUCCCCCAGCAUCCGACCGAGUGUGAUCGCCGGCUGCAUCGGUCCCUCUCCGUCAUCAGGGUUGUCACCUUUUAAGGUUCGUGUAAGGACGCACGGAGACAUGAUUCUUCUGAGGAAUAAGUUUUAUUUAUUUUCUCGCAGUGAGCAGGUUUCGCGUAGUUGUCCUCGUCCACUCCGCUCCUCUCCUCUCCUCGGCCUUGCCCCUGAGCGUCUGCUGCAGAGUCUCCCUUUUCUCUCCAGGUCCUGCUCACUGCUUUUCAUGGGACAAACAAUCAGUUCUGAUCACUUCCACCUGUGCUCCUUACUCUCCUGCCGUCACCGUCCCCGGAACCACUCACCCGCUCUCCCCCCUGCAGCUGAGCUAACCACACCCCGCCACAGCAACAAUAUUUAAAACUGCCCAUCAGUAACUAACAUUCACACACUGUAGUCAAAGCUACAGGAGCAAUGUUGAUUUAAGUGUCUUGCCCAAGGACAUUGCCGGUUUAGCCGGGCCUGGGAUCAAACCGCCAACCCUGUGAUUGGAGAACCUUGCUCCCCACUCACCCACAGUCGCCCCCUCUUAUCUAUCUUUUAUGGUAGCUACAAUGGCAGCAUCUCAGAAUUCCUGUCGCCAUUUGCAAAGUAGAACUCUUACUUCCUCUCCAUGUUCAUUUGCACUUCUGCAUCGUCUGUGGUUGUUGCCUCUUGGUUGCUAGCUUCAAGGUCUGACAUUCUUCUCCACCACUGAUUAACAAAGUAAAAAACUGGAGGCAUAUUUAAUAUUAUAAAGCAUCAUCUCCCUCAGUCUUCAUUGUUAUCACUGUCCAUUGUGGGUGAAUUGAGAGCUUGAUUGUCCUUCAAUUAGAGGAUUGGCGGUGCAUCCCCAGUACCACUACUCCAGAUGUGUGUCCUUUGGACAAGACGCUUAACUUUGCUUUAUGUGUGCAUGGUGUGAAUGUUAGAUACUAAUGGGUAGGUGCACUGUUCAUGGUACCUCAUGUAAUCACUGUAUGAAUGGUUGAAUGAUGACAUGGAGUUUAAAGAAAUAUGACUUAUGUGUCUUUCGUAUUUAAGAUGAGCUAGGAAACAAACUGGUGUGCAUGUUCAGAGAGGACAACAGCUCCCAUGUGAUAAACCCUCAAAGACGGGCAGGGGCUUCAAAUGAAAAAUCCUGUAAAAGAAGGGUAAAGGAGUGCAGAGGGAAAAAAACAACUCACUGACAAGCAGUUUGUGUAACAAUGUACCGCCUGCCGGGGUUUUAAAAGAUUAAAAUGUCUGAGGUUCAUUUUUUAUAUUCCCGCUCAUUAGGACAUGUGUGACUUCUCAUUGUCAGGAGCGUUUGAAACUGUUACAUUUUGUUCCCGUUGAUAGCAAUCUGCAUUUUUCUUUGGUGAAACAUCUUGUUAUAUGUGUCACUACAAAGGAUCUUUUUUUCUGAAAUCCUUUCUGUUGCACUUCUCCUUCCCCUGUACUACCAAACCCAGGAUAUGUUUCUGCUGGAUCCCAGGCAGUUAUAUUUGUCCCCACUGUCUUAGCUAAAAGGAGAUACAGUAAGUACCAUGUGGUUGCACUUAUAUCCAUAGAAUAAAGGAUAGAACACAUGAGGUGCAGUCAGUCUAGAUCCUUGACCAAAGAACAGAAGAUAUAUCAUACCUGCAACAUUGAUCUGUCAGGUAAAAUGAAUACUGUUGUGAAGAUGACAUCUCAUCCUUAAUACUGUCGCUGGUCUCUGGUGGGAUCCACUUCAGCAGAACCUCAUUAAAGGAACACAGGGGUGGAGAUGGAAGGAGAGGUUACAAGAGGCUGUUUGUGUGUUUUCCACUAACCUCUGUAUAGACAAACACAACACAACAUGCUGUAACUGUAAUUGGUCAUAUUAAAUCAAUCAGGUAAAUAGAAUAACCUGAAUUUAUUUUUGCCUUUGAAGGUUUGGGUCAAAAUUCAACAAAAAAAGAGAACCCGAGACGACAAAAAGGAAAUCAUUCUUCAAGCCACAGGACUCGAGCUUGUUGGCAAACUUUUUACUCUUGUAAUGUUCUCCCCAUUUAUAUCUGACAUUAAUAUUCAGAUCAAGAAAAGGUUUAAAGCCGGGUUGGUAAGUUGGUACCUCUUUCGUUCCUGUGACACAUUUGAAUUAAAAUCAUAAGGCACCAAAUAUACCCUGUUACACGGACAAUGUGCACCAUCUACAGGUUAUGUUGUCAUGCUGAAUUCAUGGUAUGUUUAUUUUAUUCAGACUGAUGUUUCUGCAAUUAAAAGAAACAAACAUCAUAUCUUGCCUCUUUGUCGCAAUUGCUGUUUGAUAUGUUACAGCAUUGUUGCACUGUGAUGGUGUGCUGUAAUUGUGAGAAAGCUACUAAAUGGGCUUUGGCCAUAGACUUAAAAAAAAGUUUGACAGAGCAUUGGAGGGAGGGCCAUGUUCAUUCCUGUGAAAGUUGCUAAGUGGCCUCUGUAUAUAAAAGCUCAGUAGCAAGAUAUGGAAGAGAUGUCACAUGAAUUGUUUGCUCCCAAUGGCAGGGUUAUGUUUUGUAAUGGAAGCACUUUUGAUGUUCUGACCUGGGUGGAGACCAUCCAGGAAUGUGUCAUACAUGUUGGUGAAGUUUGUGUUUGUGUCCCGUCUUACGUCUGAUUUUGAUACUUCCUGUUUUAUUGUGGCGUCUAAACCCCCUCUCGUUGCAGGUGCCUUGCCCUUCCUCAGGUGUCUCCUGUCGAUUAUCUCCCCUGAUUCCUAAUUGUCUCCUCCUGUUCCCUCACCUCCCUCAUGGAUACUUAUUGUCUGCGUCUCCCUUUGUCCUGUGCCAGUGUGUCUUGUAGUCGUGCAUGUCCACACCCGCGUUCGUGUUGGUUUGUGAAAGGAUCUUUGCAUAUGGUAUUAUUAGAUAUAGGAAUAAUUGUACUACUGGAUCAUUGGAAUAAAUCUAUAGCAGUCAAACCUCUCUGCGUCCUUGUCCUCCUCCCCGGCUCCGGCCUCAUUGACAGAAUGGAGACUUUACUUUAACUGGCCAACUUGUUAUCUGUCUGUCCAUUUGCCAAACUGCUGGUUUGUAUGCGAUUGGGAAUCAUGGCUAUAAAUAGUGGCUAUGAGCAUAUACAUCAAGCAGCACUUCCAUCAGGGAAACCAACUAAUUAUUGUAGUGUGUGCCUUAGGUCUAAAACAAGCAAAUAUACAUAUCAGAAGACAUAUGCGGAGGGUUGAUGUACAUCAAAUGAUACCAAUUCUAUUAAGCCUACUGAUUGCCUCUUUGGCAGCUAUGAAAGCAAUUUAGAAAGAAAAUAAAGAAUGGUUUUGUUCCAUGCCAUGUGCCUGGGACUUUUAUUCAGGGGCUCCAGAAAACAAAGAUGCCUGGGUGGAUAUGGCUCAAUGGCUCUUGGUGUUUUUGUCUUUGAAUGUUAAUUGCUCAGAUCUUAAGUCGAUUAUUGGUGUAACACCUAAUUGUGCAAAUUUAUUGGACAGUAAACUAAAGUUGUGUCUCCCUGAAAGUCGUGCGGUAGUUAUAAGAACACAUCGAGGUGUAACUGCAACUAAUCUGAUUGAUUAAAAAAGAGCCUUUGAGAGGACCAGGGAGAGAGUUUAUUCAGCCCAGUGACGCAUUGAACUAAUUAGCAAGAGUAUUUUAGAGGGAAGACAUUGCUGAGGAAUUCUGAUCAUCACUCAUGGCCCUGUCUCUGUAGUUAAAUGAAGUGUCAUCUGUCAUGCAUACGCAUGCGAAGAGAGGACUAGGUUGGAGGUUCGUUUGUCAGCCGGCAUUCAGGACACUCAUUAUCUCGCUAAAGUGAUGUUCAUGUUUAAAAAUGAAUUCAUUUUUUAUUCCUCCCUCUCAAACCUCAGUUAAAAGGGACUGCCACGUUGGCAUCAGAUCUCAGUCCAAUUUUACUGGCCUGGGAGACUCUCUCUUUUCUUACUCUUUCUCCUCCAUCAUUCCAUCCCCCAUUUUUUUUCCACCUCCCUCCUAAAAAAACCCCCAUUCAUCAUUUUAUCUCCUGACCACAGUCAUCAAUGAAAACAUGCUGGUGCGUCCGUGCCUAUGCCAAGACAAUUAUGCCGAUGGCGCCUUCAAAGAGUUUUAUGAAUUCCAGCUCUCGUUGUGCCUGGCGGGAGGGAGGCAGGGAGGGAGCCGGAGACUGGGCCAGCACCGGGUGAAGGAGACACAGUUUGAGCAUGCUGAAGAUUUUCUGAUGAUCCACCAUAUUGCUGCUCCAUGGAUGGAGGUAAAUUGCAGCCAUGUGGUCCUAAGCAUAUUAAACUCUUUUAUAGAGUCUGAGCCUUGCUUAAUCAAGUGAAAAGUGCUGUGGGGGUCAAGCAGGGAUCAUUAAACGUCUCUGCUGCUGCUUAUCCCUCCAGAACAUAGCCUGAAAGGACAGCUAUAGAGAAGGAAGAAAAGAAACCAAAGAAACAUAAAGCUUCAGGAGAUCUCUCAUACAUGCUCCCAAGUGAGCUUGCAAACACUCCCUUUCAGAAUUUUAUUUUUCAGUUGAAAAGUCAAUGCUGUUCACCCAAGACGACAAGCAUUGUGUUUUUGCGUCCAACAAUCGAGUUUCAAAUUAAAUUGGCAAUACAAAUUUCACAAUUAUAUGUCGCUGUUCA